GAGUUUGAUCCUGGCUCAGAUUGAACGCUGGCGGCAUGCUUUACACAUGCAAGUCGGACGGCAGCACAGAGAAGCUUGCUUCUUGGGUGGCGAGUGGCGAACGGGUGAGUAAUGCAUCGGAACGUACCGAGUAGUGGGGGAUAACUGUCCGAAAGGAUGGCUAAUACCGCAUACGCUUUGAGAAGGAAAGCAGGGGCUCUUCGGACCUUGCGCUAUUCGAGCGGCCGAUGUCUGAUUAGCUAGUUGGUGGGGUAAAGGCCUACCAAGGCGACGAUCAGUAGCGGGUCUGAGAGGAUGAUCCGCCACACUGGGACUGAGACACGGCCCAGACUCCUACGGGAGGCAGCAGUGGGGAAUUUUGGACAAUGGGCGCAAGCCUGAUCCAGCCAUGCCGCGUGUCUGAAGAAGGCCUUCGGGUUGUAAAGGACUUUUGUCAGGGAAGAAAAGGUUGUGGUUAAUACCCAUGACU
This 469-nucleotide ribosomal RNA is filed under the name Neisseria zoodegmatis. RNAcentral's name for it is "bacterial SSU rRNA". It matches the Rfam family "Bacterial small subunit ribosomal RNA", at positions 9 to 474 of the family's 1533-position model. The record is from RNAcentral. Lineage: Bacteria; Pseudomonadati; Pseudomonadota; Betaproteobacteria; Neisseriales; Neisseriaceae.